AACUUUUGGCAACGGAUCUCUUGGCUCUCCUAUCGAUGAAGAACGCAGCGAAAUGCGAUAAGUAAUGUGAAUUGCAGAGUUCAGUGAAUCAUCGAAUCUUUGAACGCACCUUGCGCCCGUUGGUAUUCCGAGGGGCACACCCGUUUGAGUGUCGUGACAUUCUCAAAACCUUCUCGGUUUCUCGCCCGGGAAGGCUUUGGACUUUGGAGGCUUUUGCUGGCAUUCCUUUGUUGGAGCCUGCUCACGUGAGAGGGAUAAGUAGGGUCUGUUUUCCCGAUCAUUGACGUGAUAAGAUGCAUUCUACGUCCUGGGAUUUAGCACACCUCCUCCUAACCCUCUCACAGUAGACAAACGCGCCACUCGACCCACAAACCUUGACCUCAAAUCGGGUGACACUACCCGCUGAACUUCAGCAUAUCAAUAAGCGGAGGCU
This 433-nucleotide unclassified non-coding RNA is filed under the name uncultured Russula. Its description in RNAcentral is "sequence contains ITS2". The stretch from base 1 to 154 matches the Rfam family "5.8S ribosomal RNA". Lineage: Eukaryota; Fungi; Basidiomycota; Agaricomycetes; Russulales; Russulaceae. The record is from RNAcentral.